GUUCUUGUAGUUGAAUAACAACGAUAGUUUUUCAGAUUAGAGGUCUUAGUUAGAGUCUAAGUAGGAAUUA
RNAcentral lists this transfer RNA (70 nucleotides) under Gymnura altavela (spiny butterfly ray). RNAcentral's name for it is "tRNA-Glu". It matches the Rfam family "tRNA". Rfam says of the family: Transfer RNA (tRNA) molecules are approximately 80 nucleotides in length. Their secondary structure includes four short double-helical elements and three loops (D, anti-codon, and T loops). The record is from RNAcentral. Lineage: Eukaryota; Metazoa; Chordata; Chondrichthyes; Myliobatiformes; Gymnuridae.